CCAAAAAGGUGGUUCGUUGCUGAACUGGUAUGAGCAGCCCAGGGGUGAGUAACGCGUGGGGAAUCUGCCUUUGAGCGGGGGACAACAUUUGGAAACGAAUGCUAAUACCGCAUAAAAACUUUAAACACAAGUUUUAAGUUUGAAAGAUGCAAUUGCAUCACUCAGAGAUGAUCCCGCGUUGUAUUAACUAGUUGGUGAGGUAAAGGCUCACCAAGGCGAUGAUACAUAGCCGACCUGACAGGGUGAUCGGCCACAUUGGGACUGAGACACGGCCCAAACUCCUACGGGAGGCAGCAGUAGGGAAUCUUCGGCAAUGGACGAAAGUCUGACCGAGCAACGCCGCGUGAGUGAAGAAGGUUUUCGGAUCGUAAAACUCUGUUGGUAGAGAAGAACGUUGGUGAGAGUGGAAAGCUCAUCAAGUGACGGUAACUACCCAGAAAGGGACGGCUAACUACGUGCCAGCAGCCGCGGUAAUACGUAGGUCCCGAGCGUUGUCCGGAUUUAUUGGGCGUAAAGCGAGCGCAGGUGGUUUAUUAAGUCUGGUGUAAAAGGCAGUGGCUCAACCAUUGUAUGCAUUGGAAACUGGUAGACUUGAGUGCAGGAGAGGAGAGUGGAAUUCCAUGUGUAGCGGUGAAAUGCGUAGAUAUAUGGAGGAACACCGGUGGCGAAAGCGGCUCUCUGGCCUGUAAACUGACACUGAGGCUCGAAAGCGUGGGGGAGCAAACAGGAUUAAAUACCCUGGUAGUCCACGCCGUAAACGAUGAGUGCUAGAUGUAGGGAGCUAUAAGUUCUCUGUAUCGCAGCUAACGCAUUAAGCACUCCGCCUGGGGAAGUACGACCCGCCAAGGGUUGAAAACUCUAAACGAAAUUUGAACCGGGAGAGGC
This 885-nucleotide ribosomal RNA is filed under the name Lactococcus lactis. Its description in RNAcentral is "bacterial SSU rRNA". It matches the Rfam family "Bacterial small subunit ribosomal RNA", at positions 67 to 930 of the family's 1533-position model. Lineage: Bacteria; Bacillati; Bacillota; Bacilli; Lactobacillales; Streptococcaceae. The record is from RNAcentral.